RNAcentral lists this ribosomal RNA (492 nucleotides) under uncultured bacterium. RNAcentral describes it as "partial 16S ribosomal RNA". It matches the Rfam family "Bacterial small subunit ribosomal RNA", at positions 29 to 507 of the family's 1533-position model. The record is from RNAcentral.
AGUGAACGCUGGCGGUAGGCCUAACACAUGCAAGUCGAACGGCAGCACAGUAAGAGCUUGCUCUUACGGGUGGCGAGUGGCGGACGGGUGAGGAAUACAUCGGAAUCUACUUUUUCGUGGGGGAUAACGUAGGGAAACUUACGCUAAUACCGCAUACGACCUACGGGUGAAAGCAGGGGAUCUUCGGACCUUGCGCGAUUGAAUGAGCCGAUGUCGGAUUAGCUAGUUGGCGGGGUAAAGGCCCACCAAGGCGACGAUCCGUAGCUGGUCUGAGAGGAUGAUCGGCCACACUGGAACUGAGACACGGUCCAGACUCCUACGGGAGGCAGCAGUGGGGAAUAUUGGACAAUGGGCGCAAGCCUGAACCAGCCAUACCGCGUGGGUGAAGAAGGCCUUCGGGUUGUAAAGCCCUUUUGUUGGGAAAGAAAAGCAGCAGGUUAAUACCCCGCUGUUCUGACGGUACCCAAAGAAUAAGCACCGGCUAACUUCGUG